UGUGUAGGUGGUUGUGUUAGUCUUCUGUUAAAUUCUUCGGCUUAACCGGGGGCAUGCAGAGGAAACGGCACGACUUGAAGAUGCAAGGGGAGUAUGGAACUCAUAGUGGAGGGGUGAAAUCCGUUGAUAUUAUGGGGAACACCGAAAGCGAAGGCAGUACUCUGGUGCACUCUUGACACUGAAACACGAAAGCGUGGGUGCGAAUG
RNAcentral lists this ribosomal RNA (206 nucleotides) under uncultured bacterium. RNAcentral describes it as "partial 16S ribosomal RNA". It matches the Rfam family "Bacterial small subunit ribosomal RNA", at positions 568 to 774 of the family's 1533-position model. The record is from RNAcentral.